This 76-nucleotide transfer RNA is filed under the name Clostridia bacterium. RNAcentral's name for it is "tRNA-Val". It matches the Rfam family "tRNA". Rfam says of the family: Transfer RNA (tRNA) molecules are approximately 80 nucleotides in length. Their secondary structure includes four short double-helical elements and three loops (D, anti-codon, and T loops). Further hydrogen bonds mediate the characteristic L-shaped molecular structure. tRNAs have two regions of fundamental functional importance: the anti-codon, which is responsible for specific mRNA codon recognition, and the 3' end, to which the tRNAs corresponding amino acid is attached (by aminoacyl-tRNA synthetases). tRNAs cope with the degeneracy of the genetic code in two manners: having more than one tRNA (with a specific anti-codon) for a particular amino acid; and 'wobble' base-pairing, i.e. permitting non-standard base-pairing at the 3rd anti-codon position. The record is from RNAcentral. Lineage: Bacteria; Bacillati; Bacillota; Clostridia.
GGGAUUAUAGCUCAGUUGGUAGAGCACUUGCGUCACAUGCAAGGGGCCACAGGUUCGAGUCCUGUUAAUCCCACCA